GGAUUAGUGGCGAACGGGUGAGUAACACGUGGGCAAUCUGCCCUGCACUCUGGGACAAGCCCUGGAAACGGGGUCUAAUACCGGAUAUUGACCUUCACGGGCAUCUGUGAGGUUCGAAAGCUCCGGCGGUGCAGGAUGAGCCCGCGGCCUAUCAGCUUGUUGGUGAGGUAAUGGCUCACCAAGGCGACGACGGGUAGCCGGCCUGAGAGGGCGACCGGCCACACUGGGACUGAGACACGGCCCAGACUCCUACGGGAGGCAGCAGUGGGGAAUAUUGCACAAUGGGCGAAAGCCUGAUGCAGCGACGCCGCGUGAGGGAUGACGGCCUUCGGGUUGUAAACCUCUUUCAGCAGGGAAGAAGCGAAAGUGACGGUACCUGCAGAAGAAGCGCCGGCUAACUACGUGCCAGCAGCCGCGGUAAUACGUAGGGCGCAAGCGUUGUCCGGAAUUAUUGGGCGUAAAGAGCUCGUAGGCGGCUUGUCACGUCGGUUGUGAAAGCCCGGGGCUUAACCCCGGGUCUGCAGUCGAUACGGGCAGGCUAGAGUUCGGUAGGGGAGAUCGGAAUUCCUGGUGUAGCGGUGAAAUGCGCAGAUAUCAGGAGGAACACCGGUGGCGAAGGCGGAUCUCUGGGCCGAUACUGACGCUGAGGAGCGAAAGCGUGGGGAGCGAACAGGAUUAGAUACCCUGGUAGUCCACGCCGUAAACGGUGGGCACUAGGUGUGGGCAACAUUC
RNAcentral lists this ribosomal RNA (732 nucleotides) under Actinomycetes bacterium. RNAcentral describes it as "bacterial SSU rRNA". It matches the Rfam family "Bacterial small subunit ribosomal RNA", at positions 89 to 834 of the family's 1533-position model. Lineage: Bacteria; Bacillati; Actinomycetota; Actinomycetes. The record is from RNAcentral.